RNAcentral lists this ribosomal RNA (476 nucleotides) under uncultured bacterium. Its description in RNAcentral is "bacterial SSU rRNA". It matches the Rfam family "Bacterial small subunit ribosomal RNA", at positions 27 to 518 of the family's 1533-position model. The record is from RNAcentral.
GGACGAACGCUGGCGGCGUGCUUAACACAUGCAAGUCGAGCGAUGAAGCUCCUUCGGGAGUGGAUUAGCGGCGGACGGGUGAGUAACACGUGGGUAACCUGCCUCAUAGAGGGGAAUAGCCUUUCGAAAGGAAGAUUAAUACCGCAUAUGGUAGCUUUAUCGCAUGGUAGUGCUAUUAAAGGAGUAAUCCGCUAUGAGAUGGACCCGCGUCGCAUUAGCUAGUUGGUGAGGUAACGGCUCACCAAGGCGACGAUGCGUAGCCGACCUGAGAGGGUGAUCGGCCUACAUUGGGACUGAGACACGGCCCAGACUCCUACGGGAGGCAGCAGUGGGGAAUAUUGCACAAUGGGGGAAACCCUUGAUGCAGCAACGCCGCGUGAGUGAUGACGGCCUUCGGGUUGUAAAACUCUGUCUUUGGGGACGAUAAUGACGGUACCCAAGGAGGAAGCCACGGCUAACUACGUGCCAGCAGCCGC